RNAcentral lists this ribosomal RNA (675 nucleotides) under uncultured bacterium. RNAcentral's name for it is "bacterial SSU rRNA". It matches the Rfam family "Bacterial small subunit ribosomal RNA", at positions 94 to 803 of the family's 1533-position model. The record is from RNAcentral.
AGUGGCAGACGGGUGAGUAACAUGUGGGUAUCUACCCUUUGGCCUGGAAUAACACGAGGAAACUUGUGCUAAUACCGGAUAAGUCUUUACGGAGAAAGCUUUAUGCACCAUUGGAUGAGCCCGCACUUGAUUAGUUUGUUGGUAGGGUAAUGGCCUACCAAGACUAUGAUCAAUAGCUGAUUUGAGAGGAUGAUCAGCCACAUUGGGACUGAGACACGGCCCAAACUCCUACGGGAGGCAGCAGUGGGGAAUCUUGCACAAUGGAGGAAACUCUGAUGCAGCGAUGCCGCGUGAGUGAAGAAGGCCUUUGGGUUGUAAAGCUCUUUCGUCGGGGAAGAAAAUGACUGUACCCGAAUAAGAUGGUCCGGCUAACCUCGUGCCAGCAGCCGCGGUAAUACGAAGGGACCUAGCGUAGUUCGGAAUUACUGGGCUUAAAGAGUUCGUAGGUGGUUGAAAAAGUUGGUGGUGAAAUCCCAGAGCUUAACUCUGGAACUGCCAUCAAAACUUUUCAGCUAGAGUAUGAUAGAGGAAAGCAGAAUUUCUAGUGUAGAGGUGAAAUUCGUAGAUAUUAGAAAGAAUACCAAUUGCGAAGGCAGCUUUCUGGAUCAUUACUGACACUGAGGAACGAAAGCAUGGGUAGCGAAGAGGAUUAGAUACCCUCGUAGUCCAUGCCGA